UAAAUAUCAACUCUUUCAGAAGCUAGUGCUUCAAGAUGGAAACAAGUUUACUAAACAUUAAAUUGAGAAGCUUCUUUAUUAGUGGAUUCAUGUCAGCAAUGCUACCCUGUAAGGUCCACGAUGAAUGCCCAGCAGCUAUCCUUUCCUGACGAGUCUCAGAUAAGUUCUUACAUUUCUUUUCAUUAAGCUAUUCUAUUAUCAUUAAUUUUCACUACUUAGUGAGAAAAGUCAAAUGUCAAUUUUGGAACCUUUGAUGUAUGCUUAUUCUGUAGAAAGACACAAAAAUAGUUCAACAGAGAAAAUGAGCACAGGCAAUAACAGACAUAUUUUUCUAUACUUUUGUAAACUUAUUUUAUAGAAAACAAGUGUUUUAUUGUUUUUAAUUGCAGGAGUAUAACAGUAAUUCAUGUUCAUGUAUUAAUAUUUUAGAGCAAGUAUGAUAAGGAA
Molecule: long non-coding RNA, 447 nt
Filed under: Homo sapiens (human)
Lineage: Eukaryota; Metazoa; Chordata; Mammalia; Primates; Hominidae
Description: HSALNT0045275
Source: RNAcentral